Molecule: ribosomal RNA, 253 nt
Filed under: uncultured bacterium
Lineage: Bacteria
Description: partial 16S ribosomal RNA
Rfam family: Bacterial small subunit ribosomal RNA
Source: RNAcentral
UACGUAGGAUGCGAGCGUUAAUCGGAAUUACUGGGCGUAAAGCGUGCGCAGGCGGUUCGUUGUGUCGGUGGUGAAAGCCCCGGGCUCAACCUGGGAAUGGCAGUGGAAACUAGGGGACUGGAAUCUGGCAGAGGGGGGUGGAAUGCCGCGUGUAGCAGUGAAAUGCGUAGAGAUGCGGCGGAACACCGAUGGCGAAGGCAGCCCCCUGGGCUGAGAUUGACGCUCAGGCACGAAAGCGUGGGGAGCAAACAGG